GCGCCGUGUAACCAAUUUCUGCUACUUUUCUCGUCUAUUUGUUAAGCAAGGAAAAUACUUGAUGCCGACGUUUUAGCACUGAGCAUUGGGGCUUUCUUCUUUGGUGAAAAUACUCUCAGAGAGGCCCGAUAUGCAUCGUGCGUGAUUAAAAACUUAAAGAUCAGGGCUUUGUCUGUUCUUAUGCUCAUGCAAAGCACGGUUGAUUAUUGUAGUUAAACAAGAUUUUGUAGUGUAACUGUACUGUUAUAUUGAAGAUACGACUAAGUUUUUCUUUUAAUUACUAGGUUUUGAUGGUGCAAUUUGAGUUUUUAAAUUUGUUUAAACAUAAAGGUAAUUUCUGGGAAUUCUUGGUAUUUCUCUUCUUUUUUUGUGUUGUUUCCCUUCUGUUUAUCCCUUACGCGGAACAAUUUUAGACCUUUUUUUUUAUCAUAGUAUCCAUUGUUUGUUUGUUU
Long non-coding RNA from Pyrus x bretschneideri (Chinese white pear), 452 nucleotides. RefSeq lists it as uncharacterized. NCBI's taxonomy places the organism in Eukaryota, Viridiplantae, Streptophyta, Magnoliopsida, Rosales, Rosaceae. The record is from RefSeq and is a predicted model, not a curated record. The transcript is spliced from 2 exons.